UAGGGAAUCUUCCACAAUGGACGAAAGUCUGAUGGAGCAAUGCCGCGUGAGUGAAGAAGGGUUUCGGCUCGUAAAACUCUGUUGUUAAAGAAGAACACCUUUGAGAGUAACUGUUCAAGGGUUGACGGUAUUUAACCAGAAAGCCACGGCUAACUACGUGCCAGCAGCCGCGGUAAUA
This 178-nucleotide ribosomal RNA is filed under the name uncultured bacterium. Its description in RNAcentral is "partial 16S ribosomal RNA". It matches the Rfam family "Bacterial small subunit ribosomal RNA", at positions 355 to 525 of the family's 1533-position model. The record is from RNAcentral.